Molecule: ribosomal RNA, 377 nt
Filed under: Cornufer papuensis (Papua wrinkled ground frog)
Lineage: Eukaryota; Metazoa; Chordata; Amphibia; Anura; Ceratobatrachidae
Description: Platymantis papuensis (Papua wrinkled ground frog) partial 12S ribosomal RNA
Rfam family: Bacterial small subunit ribosomal RNA
Source: RNAcentral
UGCUAGGCCGUAAACUUGAAUUACACCUCCAAACGCCCGGGAAUUACGAGCCAUGCUUAAAACCCAAAGGACUUGACGGUACCCCAUCCACCUAGAGGAGCCUGUUCUAUAAUCGAUAGUCCCCGUUUUACCUCACCUUCACUAGAUUUUUCAGCCUGUAUACCUCCGUCGCAAGCUUACUGUAUGAACACAAAAUAGUGGGCCCAAUUGGCCGAACCCAAACACGUCAGGUCAAGGUGCAGCCUAUAUGAAGGAAGCAAUGGGCUACAAUUUCUAACAUAGAACAAACUAACAGUCACAUGAAACUGUGACUCAAAGGCGGAUUUAGCAGUAAGAGCGGAACAGAGAGCCCCUCUUAACAUGGACCUGGGUUAUGU